This 73-nucleotide transfer RNA is filed under the name Phakopsora pachyrhizi. RNAcentral's name for it is "tRNA-Ser". It matches the Rfam family "tRNA". Rfam says of the family: Transfer RNA (tRNA) molecules are approximately 80 nucleotides in length. Their secondary structure includes four short double-helical elements and three loops (D, anti-codon, and T loops). Further hydrogen bonds mediate the characteristic L-shaped molecular structure. tRNAs have two regions of fundamental functional importance: the anti-codon, which is responsible for specific mRNA codon recognition, and the 3' end, to which the tRNAs corresponding amino acid is attached (by aminoacyl-tRNA synthetases). tRNAs cope with the degeneracy of the genetic code in two manners: having more than one tRNA (with a specific anti-codon) for a particular amino acid; and 'wobble' base-pairing, i.e. permitting non-standard base-pairing at the 3rd anti-codon position. Lineage: Eukaryota; Fungi; Basidiomycota; Pucciniomycetes; Pucciniales; Phakopsoraceae. The record is from RNAcentral.
GCGCACUUAGCUCAAAUGGUAAGAGCAUCACUCUUGAAAGUUGAGGUUGUGGGUUUCAUUCCCACAGUGCACA